Molecule: long non-coding RNA, 701 nt
Filed under: Serinus canaria (Common canary)
Lineage: Eukaryota; Metazoa; Chordata; Aves; Passeriformes; Fringillidae
Description: lncRNA (ENSSCAG00000005312.1)
Rfam family: Small Cajal body specific RNA 15 (bases 441-572)
Source: RNAcentral
GAAGCAGUUUAUGUGUCAGUAUCGCUUCCAUCAGAGCAAGUAAAGCUUGAAAAGUAGGCCUGUUUGGAAAAGGUUUAAGUAAGGUGGGCUAGGACAGCUGAGUCCCAGUAUAUAUUGGCAACUGCGCACACCACCAUAAACGCGAUGGAGAGAAAAUUCAAUAAAAAGGCAAUGAUGUGUUUUGGACUGGCCCAGGACUAUGGUAGAGUGUGAACAGGAAGCAAAGCCUCACCUUUGAGGUCCCUGGUUGCUUUGCUGCGUGCUGCUAAUGAGUAAUAUUGGUUACUGCUGGGAAACAGGUGGGCAGUAAAAAGAUUAAACCGAGUUUGAAGAUAGGAAUAGGGAAUUGCCUGCCUGGCUGAGUGGUUAGGCUCUGCUGUCUGCUUUAGGAGGGUUCAGUCUGUUCUGAGACUUUUCAGGAGUUUCUUGCGGAGGUUCAUCUGGAGGACUAAGAAAGUGGAGCCAGUGGCACUAUAUUGACUCCACUGAUACUAUCCUCCUAAAUUAAAUGGUGGGAGAACAAGGCCUGUCUGUGAGAUAAAAGUCAGGACCUACUUGAUCUACCUACAAUGUUUUAAUGGCAGUGAGAGAGAGCAGGUUAAAAGUCACGUGUUUUUGUAGUGAAAGGCCCUUUGUUCCCGGCUCCAGCACUGGGUGAGGAGGGACAUUGGACAUGCCUUGGAUGACGAUAGUUCUGUCAC